This 243-nucleotide long non-coding RNA is filed under the name Gallus gallus (chicken). Lineage: Eukaryota; Metazoa; Chordata; Aves; Galliformes; Phasianidae. The record is from RNAcentral.
GGCUGUGUGAGCCCUCCCGGAGGCGGGAGGGGAGCGUGGCGGUGACGUCACACGGUGCUUCGUGGAUCGUUGAUGGUGGUACUGGAAGACCUGGUGCCUUCUCUUCUGCAGUAUGGACAAGCCCAGCUUCUUCAGUCUUUCUUUGAAGGAGAGGUGCUCCAGUCCUCUGAUCAUCCUCAUGAUACUCCUCUGGACCUGCUCCAACAGCCCCACGUCUUUCUUGUGCUGGAUGCAGUACUCCAG